UUUUUUUGUCUCAUUUUUAGCACCGUAGCGUUUCCAUUUUGCACUUUAUGUACUCUUUGGCACUUUUUAUAUACUUGCUAUUUUAGUGAUUUACAUAAAAUUAGUCAUGUAUCGUUUUUAUUCUAAGCACUUUAUACGUAGUACUGGAAACAUUUAUAUGACAACCACUAUUAAUUGAGGCUCAAACUCCUCCCUCCUACUCAAGUUUGAGCCUAUUUAUUUGCGCUAGAUAUGCUUGAUAAAGGCCGAAACGUCACCAAUGUUAUUUGGUACCUCAAUAAAGAACACCUG
Molecule: non-coding RNA, 291 nt
Organism: Pelobates cultripes (western spadefoot toad)
Lineage: Eukaryota; Metazoa; Chordata; Amphibia; Anura; Pelobatidae
Source: the annotation of a GenBank genome assembly